GAUGAAGAACGUAGCGAAAUGCGAUACGUAAUGUGAAUUGCAGAAUUCAGUGAAUCAUCGAAUCUUUGAACGCAUAUUGCGCUCUCUGGUAUUCCGGAGAGCAUGCUUGUUUGAGUAUCAGUAAACACCUCAACUUCCAUAUCUUUUUUGAAAUGGGAGUUGGACUUGAGUGAUCCCAACGCUUUUCCUCACCGAAAAGUGGCGGGUUACUUGAAAUGCAGGUGCAGCUGGACUUUUCUCUGAGCUAUAAGCAUAUCUAUUUAGUCUGCCUAAAAAACAGCUUAUUACCUUUGCUGCAGCUAACAUAAAGGAGAUUAGUUCUUGUGCUGACUGAUGCAGGAUUCACAAAGACAGGCUUCGGCCGACUUUGUAAACUCGAUCUCAAAUCAAGUAAGACUACCCGCUGAACUUAAGCAUAUCAAUAAGCGGAGGA
This 433-nucleotide unclassified non-coding RNA is filed under the name soil metagenome. Its description in RNAcentral is "partial contains 5.8S ribosomal RNA, internal transcribed spacer 2, and large subunit ribosomal RNA". The stretch from base 1 to 120 matches the Rfam family "5.8S ribosomal RNA", at positions 35 to 154 of the family's 154-position model. The record is from RNAcentral.